UCUCCAGACUCCUACGGGAGGCAGCAGUGGGGAAUAUUGCACAAUGGGGGAAACCCUGAUGCAGCGACGCCGCGUGAGCGAAGAAGUACCUCGGUAUGUAAAGCUCUAUCAGCAGGGAAGAAGAUGACGGUACCUGACCAAGAAGCUCCGGCUAAAUACGUGCCAGCAGCCGCGGUAAUACGUAGGGGGCAAGCGUUAUCCGGAUUUACUGGGUGUAAAGGGGGCGCAGACGGCGAUGCAAGCCAGGAGUGAAAGCCCGGGGCCCAACCCCGGGACUGCUCUUGGAACUGCGUGGCUGGAGUGCAGGAGGGGCAGGCGGAAUUCCUGGUGUAGCGGUGAAAUGCGUAGAUAUCAGGAGGAACACCAGUGGCGAAGGCGGCCUGCUGGACGAUGACUGACGCUGAGGCUCGAAAGCGUGGGGAGCAAACAGGAUUAGAUACCCUCGUA
Molecule: ribosomal RNA, 447 nt
Filed under: uncultured bacterium
Lineage: Bacteria
Description: partial 16S ribosomal RNA
Rfam family: Bacterial small subunit ribosomal RNA
Source: RNAcentral